This 72-nucleotide transfer RNA is filed under the name Marmota monax (woodchuck). Its description in RNAcentral is "tRNA.Ala". It matches the Rfam family "tRNA". From Rfam's summary of the family: Transfer RNA (tRNA) molecules are approximately 80 nucleotides in length. Their secondary structure includes four short double-helical elements and three loops (D, anti-codon, and T loops). The record is from RNAcentral. Lineage: Eukaryota; Metazoa; Chordata; Mammalia; Rodentia; Sciuridae.
GUGGGUUUUGGCUCAGUGGUAGAGUACUCGCCUAGCACAUGAGAGGCCCUGGGUUCAAUCCUCAGCACCACA